UACGGAGGAUGCGAGCGUUAUCCGGAUUUAUUGGGUUUAAAGGGUGCGCAGGCGGAAGAUCAAGUCAGCGGUAAAAUUGAGAGGCUCAACCUCUUCGAGCCGUUGAAACUGGUUUUCUUGAGUGAGCGAGAAGUAUGCGGAAUGCGUGGUGUAGCGGUGAAAUGCAUAGAUAUAUGGAAGAACACCAGUGGCGAAGGCGGCCGCCUGGCCUGUUAACUGACGCUGAGGCACGAAAGCGUGGGGAGCAAAUAGG
This 253-nucleotide ribosomal RNA is filed under the name uncultured Bacteroidales bacterium. Its description in RNAcentral is "partial 16S ribosomal RNA". It matches the Rfam family "Bacterial small subunit ribosomal RNA", at positions 524 to 776 of the family's 1533-position model. The record is from RNAcentral. Lineage: Bacteria; Pseudomonadati; Bacteroidota; Bacteroidia; Bacteroidales.